This is a long non-coding RNA of Arachis duranensis, 809 nucleotides long. RefSeq lists it as uncharacterized. NCBI's taxonomy places the organism in Eukaryota, Viridiplantae, Streptophyta, Magnoliopsida, Fabales, Fabaceae. The transcript has 2 exons. The record is from RefSeq and is a predicted model, not a curated record.
CCAAAGCCUAACUUUGAACUUCAGUAUCUAGCUAUUUAUCGUUGCUGGUGUAUCAUGCCAUUUAAAAAUCGAUGCACUUAGGAGUUACGAGCCAAACCUGUUAUGUGGAGGCAGAUUGAGGAGGAUAAAUAUUUACAAGCCCACAAACCAACCUUAUUUUAAGAGUGUUGGGUGGUCAAAAGGAAGCACAAACAUAAGUUAAAUGUGGCAGAGAUGAAGAUGUUGAGAUGGAUGAGCGGUCAUACGCAAUUUGAUAAAAUAAAAAACGAAGAGAGUUGGAGUAGCACCCAUUGUGAAAAAGAUGGUAGAAUCGCGUCUCAGGUGGUUUGGACAUGUGAGAAGGUGACCGACAGAGCACCCAGUCAGGAGGGUAGAUGAGAUGGAGGAUGGACAAAGGAUGAAAGGCAGAGAAAAAUCUAAAAAGAUCAUUCAUGAGGUGGUCAAACGAGAUCUACAUGUAAACAGUCUCGUUGUAGAUAUAAUACAUGAUAGAGCUCAAUAACAUCGUUUGAUUCAUAUAACCAACCCUACCUAGUAGGACUUGUUGUAUGGUACACUUUGGCAAGUGCGGUGCACCAUAGCAGUAGCCCAAAUUAAUGAGUAAUGACAUGUUCAUUUGUGUGAAAAUUGAACUUUGUUAAUACUAGGGAAUCUCAACUUCAGUUCACACUGAUUUGAAUACGUCGUACUAGUAUCUAUUUGUGGGUCUUUUACUUGUAGAAUUGAGGAAUAGAGCUAGUAGUAAUUUAUUGACUUAAAGUCCUGCAAUUGAAUCAUUUAUGAGGUACCGAUCUGGUUUAUGUGGUCAA